This 118-nucleotide microRNA precursor is filed under the name Myotis lucifugus (little brown bat). RNAcentral's name for it is "miRNA (ENSMLUG00000028302.1)". The record is from RNAcentral. Lineage: Eukaryota; Metazoa; Chordata; Mammalia; Chiroptera; Vespertilionidae.
UAUACAUAUAUAUUUACAUAUAUAUACAUAUAUAUAUAUAUACAUAUAUAUUUACAUAUAUAUACAUAUAUAUAUACACAUACACACACACACAUAUAUAUAUACAUAUAUAUGUAUA